Molecule: ribosomal RNA, 253 nt
Filed under: uncultured bacterium
Lineage: Bacteria
Description: partial 16S ribosomal RNA
Rfam family: Bacterial small subunit ribosomal RNA
Source: RNAcentral
GACGAUCCGAGCGAACGUUAUUCGGAAUCACUGGGCUUAAAGGGCGCGUAGGCGGGCCGUGAAGUCAGGGGUGAAAUCCUCCAGCUCAACUGGAGAAGUGCCUCUGAUACUCGCGGCCUCGAGGGAGGUAGGGGCGUGCGGAACUUCCGGUGGAGCGGUGAAAUGCGUAGAUAUCGGAAGGAACACCAGUAGCGAAAGCGGCGCGCUGGACCUCUUCUGACGCUGAGGCGCGAAAGCCAGGGGAGCAAACGGG